RNAcentral lists this transfer RNA (74 nucleotides) under Vicugna pacos (alpaca). Its description in RNAcentral is "tRNA-Und (NNN) (tRNA-Und-NNN-73-1)". It matches the Rfam family "tRNA". Rfam says of the family: Transfer RNA (tRNA) molecules are approximately 80 nucleotides in length. Lineage: Eukaryota; Metazoa; Chordata; Mammalia; Artiodactyla; Camelidae. The record is from RNAcentral.
GGAGGGUAUAACUCAGUGACAGAGUGUGUGCUUAAGCAUGCACGAGGUCCUGGGUUCAAUCCCCAGUACCUCCA